This 333-nucleotide long non-coding RNA is filed under the name Durio zibethinus. Its description in RNAcentral is "long non-coding RNA (DZIB_LNC000381)". Lineage: Eukaryota; Viridiplantae; Streptophyta; Magnoliopsida; Malvales; Malvaceae. The record is from RNAcentral.
GAAUAUAUCGUUUAUGAAACUGUUCAUGAUUCCCAUAGCCUUGCUUGAGAUCCCGAUAUCUGGGUGGACUUGCUUAAGGACCUUAAAGAUGUAGAUCUUGUAAGUCUCGACGCCCUUCUUGGCUUUCUUCUUCUUCUUGUCUCCAGCCGCACCUUCCUUGGGAAGCUUCUUGCCGGCCUUUGGCUUCUUCUCCGCUGGCGCUUUCUCACCGACGGUGGUCUUUUUCUCCUCAGUUGGCUUCUCAGCUGGCUUCUUCUCGGCUGGCUUUUUCUCGGCUUUUGGCGCCAUGUAGGGUGCUCUUCUUUUUGAUCUCGGUAAACAAAGAAAUCUGAU